UACAGAGGGGGCAAGCGUUGUUCGGAAUUACUGGGCGUAAAGGGCGCGUAGGCGGCCUUCUAAGUCGAACGUGAAAUCCCUGGGCUCAACCCAGGAACUGCGUCCGAUACUGGGAGGCUUGAAUCCGGGAGAGGGAUGCGGAAUUCCAGGCGUAGCGGUGAAAUGCGUAGAUAUCUGGAGGAACACCGGUGGCGAAGGCGGCAUCCUGGACCGGCAUUGACGCUGAGGCGCGAAAGCCAGGGGAGCAAACGGG
This 253-nucleotide ribosomal RNA is filed under the name uncultured bacterium. RNAcentral's name for it is "partial 16S ribosomal RNA". It matches the Rfam family "Bacterial small subunit ribosomal RNA", at positions 524 to 776 of the family's 1533-position model. The record is from RNAcentral.